Molecule: ribosomal RNA, 2900 nt
Filed under: Streptococcus pneumoniae GA44378
Lineage: Bacteria; Bacillati; Bacillota; Bacilli; Lactobacillales; Streptococcaceae
Description: bacterial LSU rRNA
Rfam family: Bacterial large subunit ribosomal RNA
Source: RNAcentral
UUAAGUUAAUAAGGGCGCACGGUGGAUGCCUUGGCACAAGGAGCCGACGAAGGACGUGACAAACGACGAUAUGCCUUGGGUAGCUGUAAGUAAGCGAUGAUCCAGGGAUUUCCGAAUGGGGGAACCCAACAGGUAAUACCUGUUACCUACAUCUGUUAAGGAUGUGAGGAGGAAGACGCAGUGAACUGAAACAUCUAAGUAGCUGCAGGAAGAGAAAGCAAAAGCGAUUGCCUUAGUAGCGGCGAGCGAAACGGCAGAAGGGCAAACCGAAGAGUUUACUCUUCGGGGUUGUAGGACUGCAAUGUGGACUCAAAGAUUAUAGAAGAAUGAUUUGGGAAGAUCAGCCAAAGAGAGUAAUAGCCUCGUAUUUAAAAUAGUCUUUGUACUUAGCAGUAUCCUGAGUACGGCGGGACACGUGAAAUCCCGUCGGAAUCUGGGAGGACCAUCUCCCAACCCUAAAUACUCCCUAGUGACCGAUAGUGAACCAGUACCGUGAGGGAAAGGUGAAAAGCACCCCGGGAGGGGAGUGAAAUAGAACCUGAAACCGUGUGCCUACAACAAGUUCGAGCCCGUUAAUGGGUGAGAGCGUGCCUUUUGUAGAAUGAACCGGCGAGUUACGUUAUGAUGCGAGGUUAAGUUGAAGAGACGGAGCCGUAGGGAAACCGAGUCUGAAUAGGGCGCCUUAGUAUCAUGACGUAGACCCGAAACCAUGUGACCUACCCAUGAGCAGGUUGAAGGUGCGGUAAGACGCACUGGAGGACCGAACCAGGGCACGUUGAAAAGUGCUUGGAUGACUUGUGGGUAGCGGAGAAAUUCCAAACGAACUUGGAGAUAGCUGGUUCUCUCCGAAAUAGCUUUAGGGCUAGCGUCGACAUUAGAGAUUCUUGGAGGUAGAGCACUGUUUGGGUGAGGGGUCCAUCCCGGAUUACCAAUCUCAGAUAAACUCCGAAUGCCAAUGAAUUAUGGUCGGCAGUCAGACUGCGAGUGCUAAGAUCCGUAGUCGAAAGGGAAACAGCCCAGACCACCAGCUAAGGUCCCAAAAUAAUUGUUAAGUGGAAAAGGAUGUGGGGUUGCACAGACAACUAGGAUGUUAGCUUAGAAGCAGCUAUUCAUUCAAAGAGUGCGUAAUAGCUCACUAGUCGAGUGACCCUGCGCCGAAAAUGUACCGGGGCUAAAACAAUUUACCGAAGCUGUGGAUACCUUUAUAGGUAUGGUAGGAGAGCGUUCUAUGUGUGAUGAAGGUAUACCGUGAGGAGUGCUGGAACGCAUAGAAGUGAGAAUGCCGGUAUGAGUAGCGAAAGACAGGUGAGAAUCCUGUCCACCGUAAGACUAAGGUUUCCAGGGGAAGGCUCGUCCGCCCUGGGUUAGUCGGGACCUAAGGAGAGACCGAAAGGUGUAUCCGAUGGACAACAGGUUGAUAUUCCUGUACUAGAGUAUGUAGUGAUGGAGGGACGCAGUAGGCUAACUAAAGCAGACGAUUGGAAGAGUCUGUCUAAGCAGUGAGGUGUGAAUUGAGUCAAAUGCUUAAUUCUAUAACAUUGAGCUGUGAUGGGGAGCGAAGUUUAGUAGCGAAGUUAGUGACGUCACACUGCCAAGAAAAGCUUCUAGCGUUUAAACAUACUCUACCCGUACCGCAAACCGACACAGGUAGUCGAGGCGAGUAGCCUCAGGUGAGCGAGAGAACUCUCGUUAAGGAACUCGGCAAAAUGACCCCGUAACUUCGGGAGAAGGGGUGCUGACUUUAAGUCAGCCGCAGUGAAUAGGCCCAAGCAACUGUUUAUCAAAAACACAGCUCUCUGCUAAAUCGUAAGAUGAUGUAUAGGGGGUGACGCCUGCCCGGUGCUGGAAGGUUAAGAGGAGUGCUUAGCGUAAGCGAAGGUAUGAAUUGAAGCCCCAGUAAACGGCGGCCGUAACUAUAACGGUCCUAAGGUAGCGAAAUUCCUUGUCGGGUAAGUUCCGACCCGCACGAAAGGCGUAAUGAUUUGGGCACUGUCUCAACGAGAGACUCGGUGAAAUUUUAGUACCUGUGAAGAUGCAGGUUACCCGCGACAGGACGGAAAGACCCCAUGGAGCUUUACUGCAGUUUGAUAUUGAGUGUCUGUACCACAUGUACAGGAUAGGUAGGAGUCUAAGAGAUCGGGACGCCAGUUUCGAAGGAGACGCUGUUGGGAUACUACCCUUGUGUUAUGGCCACUCUAACCCAGAUAGGUGAUCCCUAUCGGAGACAGUGUCUGACGGGCAGUUUGACUGGGGCGGUCGCCUCCUAAAAGGUAACGGAGGCGCCCAAAGGUUCCCUCAGAAUGGUUGGAAAUCAUUCGCAGAGUGUAAAGGUAUAAGGGAGCUUGACUGCGAGAGCUACAACUCGAGCAGGGACGAAAGUCGGGCUUAGUGAUCCGGUGGUUCCGUAUGGAAGGGCCAUCGCUCAACGGAUAAAAGCUACCCUGGGGAUAACAGGCUUAUCUCCCCCAAGAGUUCACAUCGACGGGGAGGUUUGGCACCUCGAUGUCGGCUCGUCGCAUCCUGGGGCUGUAGUCGGUCCCAAGGGUUGGGCUGUUCGCCCAUUAAAGCGGCACGCGAGCUGGGUUCAGAACGUCGUGAGACAGUUCGGUCCCUAUCCGUCGCGGGCGUAGGAAAUUUGAGAGGAUCUGCUCCUAGUACGAGAGGACCAGAGUGGACUUACCGCUGGUGUACCAGUUGUCUUGCCAAAGGCAUCGCUGGGUAGCUAUGUAGGGAAGGGAUAAACGCUGAAAGCAUCUAAGUGUGAAACCCACCUCAAGAUGAGAUUUCCCAUGAUUAUAUAUCAGUAAGAGCCCUGAGAGAUGAUCAGGUAGAUAGGUUAGAAGUGGAAGUGUGGCGACACAUGUAGCGGACUAAUACUAAUAGCUCGAGGACUUAUCCAA